Molecule: ribosomal RNA, 253 nt
Filed under: uncultured bacterium
Lineage: Bacteria
Also listed under: 1 other name
Description: partial 16S ribosomal RNA
Rfam family: Bacterial small subunit ribosomal RNA
Source: RNAcentral
UACGAAGGGUGCAAGCGUUACUCGGAAUUACUGGGCGUAAAGCGUGCGUAGGUGGUUCGUUAAGUCUGAUGUGAAAGCCCUGGGCUCAACCUGGGAAUUGCAUUGGAUACUGGCGAGCUAGAGUGCGGUAGAGGAUGGCGGAAUUCCCGGUGUAGCAGUGAAAUGCGUAGAGAUCGGGAGGAACAUCUGUGGCGAAGGCGGCCAUCUGGACCAGCACUGACACUGAGGCACGAAAGCGUGGGGAGCAAACAGG